UGUGUUGUUGCAACUUCAGGCAUAGCCUUCAGCGGAGGUUUUGGAAGCUAUCUUUUUGGCAUGAGUGAAGUUAUUGCUAAGCAAUCAACAGAAGCAAAUGCUGCAGAUAAUGUCAAGAACCCUUCUUUAGGAUGGAUGAUUACUUUCCUCUUGGUUGUUAGCUUUCUUGGGCUUUUCUCUGUUGUCCCUCUUCGUAAGAUUAUGAUUAUCGACUUCAAGCUGAUUUAUCCGAGUGGUACUGCAACUGCUCACCUGAUCAACAGUUUCCAUACUCCACAAGGAGCUAAGCUAGCCAAGAAGCAAGUAAAAACUUUGGGAAAGUUUUUCACCUUCAGCUUCUUAUGGAGAUUCUUCCAGUGGUUUUUUACAGGAGGGGAUGGCUGUGGAUUCGGGAGCUUUCCCACUUUAGGUCUCAAAGCCUACGAGAACAGGUUUUAUUUUGACUUCUCCGCGACAUAUGUUGGUGUUGGGAUGAUAUGUCCAUAUCUAGUCAACGUAUCGUUACUAGUUGGAGCAAUCCUUUCGUGGGGUAUAAUGUGGCCUCUUAUUGAAGACAGAAAAGGUCAUUGGUACCCUGCUGAUCAAAGUCCUACCAGCCUUCACGGCAUACAAGGUUACAGGGUGUUUAUAGCAAUAGCUAUGAUCCUUGGUGAUGGUCUUUACAACUUCAUCAAAGUACUG
Molecule: unclassified non-coding RNA, 681 nt
Filed under: Hevea brasiliensis (rubber tree)
Lineage: Eukaryota; Viridiplantae; Streptophyta; Magnoliopsida; Malpighiales; Euphorbiaceae
Source: RNAcentral